CGAAAGCCUGACGGAGCAACGCCGCGUGAGGGACGAAGGCCUCUGGGCUGUAAACCUCUUUUCUCAAGGAAGAAGAUAUGACGGUACUUGAGGAAUAAGCCACGGCUAAUUCCGUGCCAGCAGCCGCGGUAAUACGGGAGUGGCAAGCGUUAUCCGGAAUUAUUGGGCGUAAAGCGUCCGCAGGCGGCCUUUCAAGUCUGCUGUUAAAGCGUGGAGCUUAACUCCAUCAUGGCAGUGGAAACUGAUCGGCUUGAGUAUGGUAGGGGCAGAGGGAAUUCCCGGUGUAGCGGUGAAAUGCGUAGAUAUCGGGAAGAACACCAGUGGCGAAGGCGCUCUGCUGGGCCAUUACUGACGCUCAUGGACGAAAGCCAGGGGAGCGAAAG
Molecule: ribosomal RNA, 383 nt
Filed under: uncultured cyanobacterium
Lineage: Bacteria; Bacillati; Cyanobacteriota
Description: bacterial SSU rRNA
Rfam family: Bacterial small subunit ribosomal RNA
Source: RNAcentral